GGACCAACUCACGAACCAGAUGCACAAACAAGUACAAACAAUUCAACAACACACGGCACGGCCAGCGAUGUGACGUCAUCGACCAUCGGGAUAGUUCUGUCCGUUGGGGGCGUGGCCGUUAUCAGACAAGUGCUAUAGACCGUCCUUCUUCACACAGUCCAA
This 162-nucleotide long non-coding RNA is filed under the name Haliotis rubra (blacklip abalone). Its description in RNAcentral is "uncharacterized LOC124290304, transcript variant X1". The record is from RNAcentral. Lineage: Eukaryota; Metazoa; Mollusca; Gastropoda; Lepetellida; Haliotidae.